Molecule: ribosomal RNA, 773 nt
Filed under: uncultured Neocallimastigales
Lineage: Eukaryota; Fungi; Neocallimastigomycota; Neocallimastigomycetes; Neocallimastigales
Description: partial large subunit ribosomal RNA
Rfam family: Eukaryotic large subunit ribosomal RNA
Source: RNAcentral
CGCAUCUGUGCAUGCAGCAUAUCAAUAAGCGGAGGAAAAGAAACUAACAAGGAUUCCCCUAGUAACGGCGAGUGAAGCGAGAAGAGCUCAAAUUUGAAAUCUUAAAGGGUUUCCCUUUACGAAUUGUAGUUUAAAGAAGUGUUUUCUGUUGAGGUUUUGGUAAAAGUUCUUUGGAAUAGGACAUCAUAGAGGGUGAGAAUCCCGUAUUUGACCUUUACUUUCAACUUUGUGACACACUUUCAAAGAGUCGGAUUGUUUGGGAAUGCAGUCCAAAAUGGGUGGUAAAUUUCAUCUAAAGCUAAAUAUUGGCGAGAGACCGAUAGCGAACAAGUACCGUGAGGGAAAGAUGAAAAGAACUUUGAAAAGAGAGUUAAACAGUACGUGAAAUUGUCGAAAGGGAAGCGUUUGACACCAGUGUUGUUUUUCUGAAAAUCAAUUAAAGAACUGUUUAUGCUAAGCUGUUUAGACUUUAUCAGCUAACUGUUUAGUUUUGAGCUUUUCUUUAAUGCACUUUUCAGUUAACAAGUCAACAUCAAUUUCUUUUGCUGUAAAAAGCUUGAGGAAGGUGGCUUGAGAUUCGUCUUAAGUGUUUAUAGCCUCUUGCCUAUGCAGUCGGAGAGAUUGAGGUCUGCAGCGUAGAUCCUUCGGGGCUAAAUGCAUUUGUGCUAAGUUAUAGCAUUUUAUAGACAACUUGUUGACUAUGAUUUGUCUUGUAGCUUACUCGCUUAUGUUAUUUUACCUACGCUUAGGAUGUUGAGUCGUAGAGCACGCAG